Molecule: long non-coding RNA, 5294 nt
Organism: Drosophila pseudoobscura
Lineage: Eukaryota; Metazoa; Arthropoda; Insecta; Diptera; Drosophilidae
Exons: 7
Source: RefSeq, a predicted model, not a curated record
GUGGCCGCACUCCGUACGGAAAUUAGUGCGGCCUUAAAAAUAAUAAAAACGCGUUUAUGAUUUAAGUUUUGCUUGAAUUGCAAAAACAAAAUAAGGUGUAAAACAUCAACAAAUUGGAAAAGACAAGGAAAAUGUUUUUUAUUUGUUGGCGAUGUGAAAAAAUAUGAUACAAUAUAAUUAAAGAAAUUUUCGCGCAUUUAGUGUGACCAUAUCGUGGGAGUUAUCGAUAUCGGCGUGAAAGGCUAUUUCAAAGUUUAAGUAAAAAUUUCAUUGUGUAAUAUAAAUAUUCUUCCGGACCUACCAGAGGUACAAUUAAAACAGGAUUUCAAUGCAGACGCUAUAUUCGAGCGGAGUUUCAAUCCAUGUGUCGUACGGGCUGUCCAUCCGCCCCUCCCCUAAGGGAAGGGCUAAAGGAAUGGCCGCAGUAAAAGAAAAAAAAAAGCUAGGCGGAGUGGCGCCAAAAUACAAGAAGAAGUAUUAGAUCAUUGCAAUGCCAUCAAAUAAGAAAAAACACUACACCUUAUACGCCAGACACCAAUGGCUCCAUUCAAGUGAAUGUACACACAAAGCAAAGCGAGAACGGAACCACGACAACGCAUGUACAGUAGAGGGAUAACUUUAAAGGAUUACAAUAUGUACCUACGUACUCCCAAUUACGUAAAUACAUCUGCCUGUAUGUACAUACUAGUGCAGAAGUAUCUAGCUAGGGACGUGUCUUAUAGAGUCCUCUGCUUAAUGGAUUUCAAUUGGAACUGCAGAAAAAUAUCAACAGAAGACGAAGCCUGUGUCUGUAGCCACCCUGUAGAGGCGUCACUUGAUUGUUCUUGUUGCUGUUGCUUGUUCAAGGGGCACACGUCAAUAAUUGCGCUUGAAAAGAAGUUAAGGAAAACACAAUCAAGCAGAAGCAGAAGCGGCAGCAGCAGUAGAGUGGCAAUGGUAGUGCCGGCGGCAGGAGGACCAAGAGGCAAGAGGCAGCCAAGCGGUGGAGGUCCUACCAAGAUCUCUGCAGUCAGUCGGUCCCCUUUCGAACUUUAAUGUGAAAAUCAUGCAAUGAACCAAAUUCAAACGGAAAUGAUUCACACUCCAGCUGAAACACAAUUCAAGUAGGGGAACGGAACCCCAGAACCCCCGACAACCAGAAGCAAAAGUACAAUAUAAAUAUAUGUACAUAGUCGUACAUACAUGUGUAUGUAUGUAUGUAUGUUGAUGCAGAAGGCGGAUGGACGGACGGGGGUCUCAAAUCGAAAUUGCGUUUUCAACAACAAUUGUUACAACAACAAUGACGCCAUUUGGAAGAACAAUAACAAUUUCACCCCCAUAAGAUGUCUAAGAGCGAGAGAGACAGGGACUGAGACUGAGACUGAGACCGGGUACCGAGUACCGAUGAAAGCAGAUGAAACACUCGAGGGAGGACCGACCGACCACCGCCACAUGUCGAGGAGCAUGUGCCCCCAGACAAAUGUCAACGCAAAUAUUUCACUUCCUGUUCUUUUUCCCAUUUAUUCGAAGAUUCCCCCGUUCGUUUGUUCGACUUGACUGCUAAGCUUCGACAAAAGGUUCAAAGGUCAAGGAUUUUCACGUUUAAUUAGACAUGGAUACGGUUUUUCAUCACCAUCACCAUCACCAGCAUGAGAAUCCAGCAUUCAGCAUCCAGCAGUCAGCAUCCAGCAUCUGCGAGGGCGUGUGCGUAGGCGGCAACGGCGACGGCGACAACAAAGAAGCGGUAUUUAAAUUUCCAAUUAGCCCAGUGAGAGGUCGGAUGGGUGAGUGGGUGGCAUGUGGCCUGUGGCCUGUGGCGGGUGGCUGGAAGCUUCCAGUAAAUAUACCUGAAUGGCACAAAGAAGUGUUUGAAGCUUAAAUCGCCUUUAGGACAAUGGCGCCGCCCGGGUAGCAGGUCUCGUCCGCCUGUGGGCGGCGACUUUGGCGCGUGGGCGAUUCCGGCUAAGAACGACAAGGUUAAGCUCUUGAUGGAAUUAUAGAAUUAUACGUAGUUUAAAUAUACAUAUACAUAUGUACACUGGUACGAUGGGACUAUCUUUUUCGAGUGUCCACUCAAGAUCCUUCAAGUAUGAUGCAGGCCUGAGUAUAAAGAAACCCAAUCCUUAGUUGCAGUGUAGUUUGAGGGAGAGCCAGGGCCUGUUACAGGGCCGGGGUCCAAAUUAAAGUUGAAUAACUUUUAAAAAACUUAAAUUUCGCUCACAGUCGAUAAAAACUCGUCUGUUUUCGUGGAUGGGGCGUGGGGGUAAGGAGAGGGCGACACUGGUGCAACAAAUUAAAUGCAUUAAAUGUCAACUCUGGCACUUGUUGUCCACGCUGAUAGUUUCAUUAAAUGGAAAAGCGAAUUUUUGCGCAUUUUCCGCAAAAGUACGAGUAUUUUUUCCCCGCGUUUUUCCUGCUUUUUCCUGCUUUUUUCUGUCGCUGUCUUUGAGGGGACGGACGAGCAGGCAAAUCCCACUGAGACGCCGUCUGUGUCUCAUCUUGAGCAACCUCCAGGCAGACAGUAUUUUUCUGGCUGUUUUCCUCUGUCUUGUGUCUCUUUAUCUGAGACUCCAAGCUGCAAGGCAUGCCAUUUUCCAUUUGCCAUAUUUCAAUUGCAUUUUAAUUCAUUUGAGUGUGUUCCAGUGUGUGUCUUCUGUAUGCCACAUUUUCUGCGGUUUCUUUGCCCUUUUCGAGGGGAGACACCCUGCCAGCCAGGAGCCUAAACAAAUUCUAUAAAAAUAAAACAAUUCAUUAAAGAUUUUUAAAGCCCCAAAUAUAUCAGAAAGAGUCGCUUUGGUUCAUGGAGUAGAACGGGGUCUAUAUUUCUUCAAAAUGAUGCCACGCGGGCACUUUUGUGGCACUGAAUCGCAUACGCAUCCGCGGGUUCCACAUCUGGGGAAGCCAGAAAGGUAUGAUCCAGCAGCCACUGGAGUGUGGCACCGUUGUCCGUCCUCUCGUACCAAAGGCAGGAAUACACAGAAGCAGGAGCCUUCGUCUGCCAAGUAUUUUGAAGUGUUUGUCAUUUGAAUUUGAAUUAAAUUUCUACUUAUUGUUUUCAUGUGAUGCUGUAACAUCUUCGGGGAAUGCUGCCACCGAUGGACUCUGGAUAAUCAAUCUGUAAUCUGCAGUACCUGUAGCAAACCAGAGAUGAUGCACUUCGGAUUAUGCCCGAACUGAGCGAUCUACACGAUUACAUCUAGAUAUUUUUAUACAUACAUACAUAUGUAAAUCAGUGAUAUACAAAUAUAUACUACAUGAAAAAUUCAUAAAAACUUAAUAAAAUGCUAAGAUCAUAAAGGUUAGAAAAAUAAUACCUAGCUCUCUGAAAAAGAAAAAGUUGAGUAAGGAUUCGUGGUUCAGAGUUAUCUAAAUAGCGCACUUUUGUAUGUCUACAAACUAUGGAAAACUUUGAAGGUGGCCCCGCCAGGAAAUUGGCGAUUUUUGCCUAGAGAACUUGAGAAAUAAGAAAGGGAAAUCCUCUUACUGAUCAAGAUCAGAAUCAUAUGAACCAUAAACGUCCUCAGCGGGCUGGGUACAGCCGUGAUCCAUCAGAUAGACGAUCAGUUCGGCAUAUUCGCCAAGGAAUCGAAACACACAGCCAUCCUGCAGACGAUUGACCAGCAUCAAGUCCUGCUCCACGUCGAGUAUUUUACUUUUGAGAUACUCCACGCAAUGGACAAAUCCUUUUAGGGCAAGGUGCUUUUUGUACGACGCCCAAAGAAGCAUCUGCGCAAGGAACCAGAGCAUCUACGAGCACAAACUCUGUAUUGCCGUAGACCACAUAAAAUGUUUUGUAUGCCCAGCCCAGUCCUCUAUGAUCUGGGCGCGAUAAUAGGAGCCGUCGUUGUGGAGAGCCAAAACUAUGUCCAAAUAAUGCGGUUUCUGCUUGAACUGACUCUUGACCGAUGGCAGAUUAUUCUGGUCGAUACCAGUGGGGCAGAGUCAUCCACAAAUUGGCCAUACAUAAGUUAUCAGCAUGUUCACAGUGCUUUCCAUAACUUCUGGCACGUUCAAGUCCUUGGUGGCAGCUAAGAAAGAAAAGGAGAUGUAACCGAGUAUGAUUUUUGUAUAUUUUUCGACUUACUCUUGAAGCAAUCAUUGGCCGUAUCUGCCAUGCCCCUGGGCGACUGACUUUGACUGGUCCUGACUAGAAUCAACUGGCUAGCUUAAUUGUGGGACCAAUAGCUCUGCUGCUGGGUAAGAGGAAGUGAUAAGAUCGAUUUCCUUGCCUAAUUGUGCGUCCUGUCGCUGGACCUCGUAAAGAGCUUUCGAAUGCAUUGAAUUUCAAUUGUUUAUGAAUAAAAUGUACAAAUAACACAAGCAGCAGGUUGACGAAGACUGACUCAAGUGUUGCAGCAUGCGUACAAGCUGGUACAGAAUCGUGCGUUACCCAACACUGGUGGCGGAUGGCUCUGGAACUUUCUGGAAGAUAUUGGUAAAAGAAGAAAUCGAUUGAGUGUCCACAUUUGACGACCCAUUGGCCAACCGUUUGUGUGUUCCUCACCGGCGUUUUUGUGCCGGGCUCAAUAAAAGCGCCCAUUGCCCACCAUCACGUCAACUGGAACCCACGAGAUGUCUUCAAUGAAACAGCUAAGCAGCUAUUUUGCCAUUUUGCGAAGCUGCUGAAUGUUAAAGAUUUAGUUGCCAGAGGUCCAGACGGAUGAAGUGCGCCUGUCACGCGCAGCCGUUGCUCAGCUCAUGGCGCGGAGCCACCGCUUUUCUACAGAUUGCUGAAGACGCUAUGGAGAAAAGCAUUGCAAUCUCGCAGCUCAUGGCUUAUAAUAUAAAGCUCUUCAUGUAUGAUACCCAGAAGAACAACUUUAUCCAUUGGCACACAUUUGAUCGAUACAUAAAGGACUAAAGGAACAUUGAUCUAUCGGUACAGCGUCCAUCAAUGAUAUACGGGAAUGGCAGCUCCCAGGAGAAACUCAACAAGAUAUUUCCCACUCUAAAAAGGAUCCGAGUCAGUCGCAUAAUGAUAGACUUGUGCGGGGAAAUCCAAAGGAAUGAUUUUUGCCAGUCUUAUGGCAGCUGGGAAAUGAUUACAUGGACUGUUGCAAGCGUGGAGCUGCUUUGGUAUACCCUUGCCAGACAGAGAGGCCUGACUGAUUAAAAGCCAGAAAGCAGGAGACGCUCUUAGGAUGCUGUGUUGGUCACAGGAAUACCUGAAAGUAUGCCGAAGGUGGCCAUAGGCCAAACCUCUUUAAACGGCCAUCGAAAUCGAUGUUGUGUAGAAGCAAAGGCUAUAGACUAUAGGUCAAACGCAUAAAACCCAAAUUUAAUAAAAAAGGCACCGUCAAUGUCUUAAAACAGUC